RNAcentral lists this long non-coding RNA (361 nucleotides) under Brassica napus (rape). RNAcentral describes it as "long non-coding RNA (BNAP_LNC009487)". Lineage: Eukaryota; Viridiplantae; Streptophyta; Magnoliopsida; Brassicales; Brassicaceae. The record is from RNAcentral.
UGUGGCUAAUUAAGAAUGUAAAUACUUAUCUCUGUGUAUUAAUGCACGCAUAUUUAGUUUACCAAAGAUUUCGCUUCUCUGUGCUGGAUUGGAGUUUAUAUUUCCCUAUCUUGGGUUUAGUAUUUGAUGUCAAGUGUUCUAUUAUCAUACCCCUAUCUUUGUAUUUUAUUUUGCUCAUGAAGCGUCUAAAUACAUAUGUCCCCUAGUAUGCCAGGUGGAUUUAAUUUCAAAAAGGUUUGGGUUCCGUUACCUAUGUCUUGGGGUUUAUAUUCCCCUAACUUGGGUUUAGUGAUUACUCUCAAUUGUUCUAUUAUCACCUCAGUUAGUUUUGUAUUUCAUCUGGCUCAUUAUGAAUGUAAAU